AGUCGAUGAUGAGGAUUUGUGAUGUUUUUUAAUUGCUGAAUUAUUUCGUGAUUAUAAAAACACUACUGCCUUCCUUCUGAGGCU
Molecule: small nucleolar RNA, 84 nt
Organism: Dioscorea cayenensis subsp. rotundata (Guinea yam)
Lineage: Eukaryota; Viridiplantae; Streptophyta; Magnoliopsida; Dioscoreales; Dioscoreaceae
Product: small nucleolar RNA U83
Exons: 1
Source: RefSeq, a predicted model, not a curated record